RNAcentral lists this small RNA (889 nucleotides) under Pan troglodytes (chimpanzee). Its description in RNAcentral is "retained intron". The record is from RNAcentral. Lineage: Eukaryota; Metazoa; Chordata; Mammalia; Primates; Hominidae.
GGAGAAUCUAAGACUUCUGAAGAGUUUCUUGCUUCUUUCCUGUGGGGCAGUGACUCCACUUCCCAGCAGUAAUGGAAUAUCCUGAAUUAGCUACAUUAAUGUUAGAACCAUUUGGACCUCACCCAGGACUUCAACUACAUUAUGAGUAACUCCUGGACGAUUGGCACAGAAGGCACAAGGCAAAUACCUAUCUCUGUACACCCUGUGCUACUGUGUCAUGUGCUGCUCCAGGCAACUCCAAUGGAUUGGCCACCCUGGCCAAUGUGUGAGUUAUAAAGCAAUGAUGUGUAGCUAUUGAACCUACAAUUUGGUUAAAGUUAAACUCUCAAGUUUUAUAUGUUUACAAGCAUAUUGUCCUUUUGUUAAUUUCCUCCCCGUACUCAUUUCUUGACUUCUUUUAGUUUUACUAUGUAGUAAUUUUUAAAAUGUUAGUCAAAGUUAGUUAAUUUAAUUCACUUAGCAGAUUUUCCUGUAAUUUUGGUUAAACAGUAUCCUUUCUGUACAGGCCCUCCAAACACCAGCACUGAGUAGAAAGAGGCUCUGAUUCAUGAAAUGUGAAUUUAUGACAGUUGCCACUCUUAAAAAAAAAACAAACAGACAGAACUUGAGCAAUACAUGACUGAUGCAUUCUCAGCCUGCUUCCUGUGUUCCAUCUGUCUUUCUGCCAGUGCAUUCACCCUCCAGGUUUGAAAGUAGUCGGGCAAGAAAGUACUAAACUAGAGAAAGGGCAAUUCCAAAAGAACAAAUGAUUGUUUAAUUUAGGCUGACAUUACCCAGUUGCUGGGGGUAUGGGCCAUGGGGAUGGGCCAUGUUCACCACUUAGGUUGGGCAAAUUCCCAAGAUGCCUUUUGACAUAGUAAUGAGGGGGAAUACAUCACUCAUGCCCACU